CAAAGUUCAAGGAUAUUCAAGAGCACAUAUCUUCCAAGACAGGAAGGAGCACAUGAAGAGCUGGGACUGAAGAGCAGGGCUGACUGGAUUGGAUAACAUUUGUGCGCUACUGAAAAGAAAUGCAAAUUGAGUGCUGACAGGGCCUGAUAUAUUAGCAGCUUUCAGAGAAGGUCAAAAUCAGAGAGGGAAGAAGGUGAAAGCCAUGGCGGAGAGGAAGAACAGCGCGAGUCCCAGCAGCAGCUCAAAGGGAGGAGCUGCAGUCUUCGCCAAACAGGUCCAGAGGACAUUCAGCCGAGCUCAGGAAAAGGUUUUACAGAAGUUUGGUAAAUCUGAGGAGACAAGAGAUCACCAGUUUGAGAUGUGUGUACAAAACCUCCAAGUUCAACAGAGUGAUGGACACAGAAUAUACAAAGACCUCAAGGCGUAUCUCAAUGCUGUUAAAGUGAUGCGUGACGCUUCCAGUCGUCUGUUCCAGUCCCUGUUUGAUGCCUAUGAGCUUGACUGGGAUGGUGGAGAGGACCUUGGUGCUGUUGUGGAGGGGGAAGAUCUGCUGUGGAACGAUUAUGAAACCAAGCUUCGUGACCAAGCGCUGGUUACCAUGGACUCUUACAUGAGCCAGUUUCCAGAUAUGAGGGAAAGAGUGGCCAAACGAGGCAGAAAACUUGUGGAUUACGAUUCUGCUCGCCAUCAGCUGGAUUCACUGGAGAGUGCCAAAAAGAGAGAUGACAUCAAAAUAAACAAGGCGAAAGAGGAGAUGGAAACAGCCAAGAAGAUUUUUGAGGACAUGAACCGGGAACUGAAGGAGGAGCUGCCUGUUCUUUAUGACAGUCGGAUCGGAUGCUACGUUACGGUCUUUCACGCUAUUUCUAAUCUGAGAAAUAUCUUCUACAGGGAAAUGACACAGAAUAAUGACAAUUUACAGAACAUCAUGAAGGACCUCAAAGACCAACAUCCUGACAAGAACUUUGUGAUUAAGAACUUCAGUCGGGGGUCACUGAAGAGGAGGUCACUAAAAGAUGCACUGUCUCCCAGAUCACUGAGGUCCAGUUUUUUUGACUUCCACAUGGGUUACAGCCCCCGAGGUACUCUCAGGAGAGAGUACAAUUCCAGUUUCAGGUCAGAACGGGGAUCCUAUGAGUCGUACAGCCCUGCGACCAGUCCCACCAGACCAAAACCCACUGAGGACCCCACGCCUGCAGCAAAGAACACAGACACCAGCUCCACCAGCGAAGACAGCUCUACUGCAACGGUAACAGACAGUGGACACAGUGCACAAAGUGCUGCAAAGGAAGAUGUGAAGCCUGAGGAUGAAGGGAAGGAGAAGAAGGAGGAGAAGAAAGAGGAAGAGUCACAGAGUGUUUCUGAGCAGGACAGAGAGAGAGAGAGUGCAGGGGUGAAAGAUGACUCGGCUCCAGAGGAGGAUGAGGAUGAUGAUGAUGAUGAGGAUGAUGACGACAGUGAGCAGGAGCCAAAUGUAAGCCAUUCUGAAGCUCAUGAAAAGCACAGUCCCCAUCCUGAGGAUCUGAAGAAGCCGGGCUCUGGAUGAUUUUGAAUCUUCCAAGGACUCUGCUAGGACUGAUCAUACUUUACUUGAGGUGAGGGAGGAAACAGUCUGAAAGAAUGGACUCAAAGAAACAGGGAUGAAUUUGAUGUUAUCUUCACCAAACCUGUCAGCCAAAGUUUUCUACUUGUUAUUCUAACUAGAAAUAUUACAAUCACUAUGUAAUAAUUCCAUUUUUAUUUUGUGGUCAUUUCAACUAAAUGAUUAAUCCUAGACGUAAUAUAUCUAAUAAACUAUGUAGUUCUUGAUUAACUUAAUUUAACUUGGGACCGAAUAAAAAGAUUGUAUUAAAUUUAAAAAACAAACCCAAUUUGGAUGAAGAUGGCAGAAUACCUAAUAAAAUAGCCUAAAUGUAUUUUGUCUUGCUUAAAAAAAAACUUAAUAUAAAUUACUCUAGUCAUUUCCCUUUUUAAAUGACAGAAUAUAUUGCCAAAUAUUUUGUGCAUCACUAGUACUACUGCUUUAUAACUUAUUUUCAUUUAUUAAUAUGCUGUUCCCUUAGUCGCCGCUAGGGCGAAUAUGCUGGUUAUGGGUUUUGUUUUCCUAGAGGACUGUCAUAGGUUUUUGAUUGUAAAAGUUUGUAAUGUUGAGUUUUAAUUGUUGUAAACUGUUAAUUGGCAAAUAAACUAUUAAAAAUGUAAAAGUA
This is an RNA transcript of Astyanax mexicanus (Mexican tetra), 2207 nucleotides long. It is a transcript of the gene named bridging integrator 2a, with no coding region annotated. Lineage: Eukaryota; Metazoa; Chordata; Actinopteri; Characiformes; Acestrorhamphidae. The record is from RefSeq and is a predicted model, not a curated record. The transcript is spliced from 14 exons.